This 465-nucleotide ribosomal RNA is filed under the name uncultured bacterium. RNAcentral describes it as "partial 16S ribosomal RNA". It matches the Rfam family "Bacterial small subunit ribosomal RNA", at positions 28 to 507 of the family's 1533-position model. The record is from RNAcentral.
GACGAACGCUGGCGGCGUGCUUAACACAUGCAAGUCGAACGGUAAGGCCCCUUCGGGGGUACACGAGUGGCGAACGGGUGAGUAACACGUGAGCAACCUGCCCUUGACUCUGGAAUAACAGUUGGAAACAGCUGCUAAUACUGGAUAUUCAUCGUCUCCUUCCUGGGGGGUGGUGGAAAGCUCCGGCGGUCAGGGAUGGGCUCGCGGCCUAUCAGCUUGUUGGUGAGGUAAUGGCUCACCAAGGCUUCGACGGGUAGCCGGCCUGAGAGGGCGACCGGCCACACUGGGACUGAGAUACGGCCCAGACUCCUACGGGAGGCGGCAGUGGGGAAUAUUGCACAAUGGGCGCAAGCCUGAUGCAGCAACGCCGCGUGCGGGAUGACGGCCUUCGGGUUGUAAACCGCUUUCAGUAGGGACGAAGGGUGACUGACGGUACCUACAGAAGAAGGACCGGCUAACUACGUG